Cyprinodon tularosa is the source of this 179-nucleotide long non-coding RNA. RefSeq lists it as uncharacterized. NCBI's taxonomy places the organism in Eukaryota, Metazoa, Chordata, Actinopteri, Cyprinodontiformes, Cyprinodontidae. The transcript has 2 exons. The record is from RefSeq and is a predicted model, not a curated record.
CGUCAUCCUACAACUUAAACCAUGACAACUAUUCAAUCAAACUGGCCACCAGGAUGGAGCUGGAACCCCUCUCCAGGGAUAUGGCUGUUCCUAUGGUAACUGUGUAGGUGUAAGGCCUGACAGCGAGCAGGAGAAUGUUGAAGAAACCCUGCCAGACCACUUCUGCCUGCUACCUCCAU